GAUGAACGCUGGCGGCGUGCCUAAUACAUGCAAGUCGAGCGAACAGACGAGGAGCUUGCUCCUCUGACGUUAGCGGCGGACGGGUGAGUAACACGUGGAUAACCUACCUAUAAGACUGGGAUAACUUCGGGAAACCGGAGCUAAUACCGGAUAAUAUAUUGAACCGCAUGGUUCAAUAGUGAAAGACGGUUUUGCUGUCACUUAUAGAUGGAUCCGCGCUGCAUUAGCUAGUUGGUAAGGUAACGGCUUACCAAGGCAACGAUGCGUAGCCGACCUGAGAGGGUGAUCGGCCACACUGGAACUGAGACACGGUCCAGACUCCUACGGGAGGCAGCAGUAGGGAAUCUUCCGCAAUGGGCGAAAGCUUGACGCAGCCACGCCGCGUGAGUGAUGAAGGUCUUCGGAUCGUAAAACUCUGUUAUUAGGGAAGAACAAAUGUGUAAGUAACUAUGCACGUCUUGACGGUACCUAAUCAGAAAGCCACGGCUAACUACGUG
Molecule: ribosomal RNA, 497 nt
Filed under: uncultured bacterium
Lineage: Bacteria
Description: partial 16S ribosomal RNA
Rfam family: Bacterial small subunit ribosomal RNA
Source: RNAcentral